CAUUUCCAUGCUGUACAGAAAAGGCCUCCAAGCCCAAGUUAGGAAGGGCCCUACACUGUUCUUUCAACCCCUCAGCGAUAAAAGUCACAGGAAUGGACUCCUGGAUGCAUCACUCAAGUCAAAGCCUGGAAACCUGAGAGAGAGAGCAACCCCAGACAGCCCAGAGGAAUGUCCUGGAUAUCCAUGUGAAGAAAUAGGAGAUCUUAAGCUGAAAAUCAUAAAAGAUAAGUAAAUGAGUAAGGGCUAUUCAUCCUACUCAGUCCCACUCCUACCUUAUCAGAUACUUUCAGUUAUUUCUACUUUUCCUCUCGAGAUUCGCUGUGAGAUACUAGAACUUCUUUUUGAUGCAUACUUGUGGGAAGAUUUUGAUUAUCCAUGAGAUUACAGUUGUAACUUCAUAGACUCCCAAAGGGAAAUUCUUGCCUGACUGGCUCAUGGAGAAAGCCUACCUAAGAAUGAAGCCGGGACCCGGCAGAAUGGCUCCUGUGAAGAAGGGUGGCAAGAAGAAAAAGGGCCGUUCUGCCAUCAAUGAGGUGGUGACCCGAGAAUACACCAUCAACAUUCACAAGUGCAUCCAUGGAGUGGGCUUCAAGAAGCAUGCCCCUUGAGCACUCAAAGAGAUUCGGAAAUUUGUCAGGAAGGAGAUGGGAACUCUAGAUGUGCACAACUGAUACCAGGCUCAACAAGGCUGUCUGGGCCAAAGGAAUAAGGAAUGUCCCAUGCCGAAUCCAUGUGCAGUUGUCCAGAGAAUAUAAUGAGGAUGAAGAUUCACCAAAUAAGCUCUGUACUUCGGUUACCUAUGUACCUGUUACCACUUUCAAAAAUCUAUAGACAGUCA
This 838-nucleotide long non-coding RNA is filed under the name Homo sapiens (human). RNAcentral's name for it is "non-protein coding lnc-SPCS2-3:1". Lineage: Eukaryota; Metazoa; Chordata; Mammalia; Primates; Hominidae. The record is from RNAcentral.